This 531-nucleotide ribosomal RNA is filed under the name uncultured bacterium. RNAcentral's name for it is "bacterial SSU rRNA". It matches the Rfam family "Bacterial small subunit ribosomal RNA", at positions 8 to 525 of the family's 1533-position model. The record is from RNAcentral.
AGAGUUUGAUCAUGGCUCAGGACGAACGCUGGCGGCGCGCUUAACACAUGCAAGUCGAGCGAGAACCAGCCCUUCGGGGCUGGGGACAGCGGCGAACGGGUGAGUAACACGUGAGUAAUCCACCCUCGGCAUCGGGAUAGCCCGGGGAAACCCGGAUUAAUACCGAAUGGCCCAUUCGCUCCUCGGAGAUGAAUGGAAAAGGUAGCUUCGGCCUCUGGCCGAGGACGAGCUCGCGGCGGAUUAGCUUGUUGGUGGGGUAACGGCCCACCAAGGCGACGAUCCGUAGCUGGUCUGAGAGGACGAUCAGCCACACUGGGACUGAGACACGGCCCAGACUCCUACGGGAGGCAGCAGUGGGGAAUCUUGCGCAAUGGGCGAAAGCCUGACGCAGCGACGCCGCGUGAGGGAAGAAGGCCUUCGGGUUGUAAACCUCUUUCAGGAGGGACGAAGCCACUCGGGUGAAUAGCCCAGAGGGUGACGGUACCUCCAGAAGAAGCCCCGGCUAACUACGUGCCAGCCGCCGCGGUAAUA